Molecule: ribosomal RNA, 465 nt
Filed under: uncultured bacterium
Lineage: Bacteria
Description: partial 16S ribosomal RNA
Rfam family: Bacterial small subunit ribosomal RNA
Source: RNAcentral
GACGAACGCUGGCGGCGUGCUUAACACAUGCAAGUCGAACGGAAAGGCCCUGCUUGCAGGGUACUCGAGUGGCGAACGGGUGAGUAACACGUGGGUGAUCUGCCCUGCACUUCGGGAUAAGCCUGGGAAACUGGGUCUAAUACCGGAUAGGAGCCAUUUUUAGUGUGAUGGUUGGAAAGUUUUUUCGGUGUUGGAUGAGCUCGCGGGCUAUCAGCUUGUUGGGGGGGUAAUGGCCUACCAAGGCGGCGUCGGGUAGCCGGCCUGAGAGGGUGGCCGGCCACAUUGGGACUGAGAUACGGCCCAGACACCUACGGGAGGCAGCAGUGGGGAAGAUUGCACAAGGGGCGCAGGCCUGAUGCAGCGACGCCGCGUGGGGGAUGACGGCCUUCGGGUUGUAAACUCCUUUCGCUAGGGACGAAGCUUUUUGUGACGGUACCUAGAUAAGAAGCACCGGCUAACUACGUG